UCUGAAGUCCACAAAAGAGGUCAAUCCUCCAC
Molecule: non-coding RNA, 32 nt
Filed under: Homo sapiens (human)
Lineage: Eukaryota; Metazoa; Chordata; Mammalia; Primates; Hominidae
Source: RNAcentral